This 218-nucleotide unclassified non-coding RNA is filed under the name uncultured fungus. Its description in RNAcentral is "sequence contains ITS1, 5.8S rRNA gene". The record is from RNAcentral. Lineage: Eukaryota; Fungi.
AUGUUGAGAGAAAUUGUUCUUUCUGUUGUUGGGUAGGGUUGUGGUUGGGUUUGACACCCGUUGCGACCCGACCGGCAAAAGAAAGAAUAACACCAAAGCGAACCGUUACAGUCUUUCACAGAUCAACAACUGAGUGUAGUAAAGUGAUUAGAACUGAGUGGAGAUUUGUUGUGUAUGCCACAAGCGUACAUGGACAAUCAAAUAAAAAUAACCAAAAA